Molecule: non-coding RNA, 23 nt
Filed under: Cricetulus griseus (Chinese hamster)
Lineage: Eukaryota; Metazoa; Chordata; Mammalia; Rodentia; Cricetidae
Source: RNAcentral
UAUGGACUAGAUAAAUUUAUGUA